Molecule: transfer RNA, 78 nt
Filed under: Dasypus novemcinctus (nine-banded armadillo)
Lineage: Eukaryota; Metazoa; Chordata; Mammalia; Cingulata; Dasypodidae
Description: tRNA-Val (CAC) (tRNA-Val-CAC-20-1)
Rfam family: tRNA
About the family: Transfer RNA (tRNA) molecules are approximately 80 nucleotides in length. Their secondary structure includes four short double-helical elements and three loops (D, anti-codon, and T loops).
Source: RNAcentral
UGGGGAAUGGAUGUAGCUCAGUGGUUGAGUGCCUGCUUCACAUGUAUGAGGUCCUGGGUUCAAUCCCCAGUUUCUUAA